RNAcentral lists this ribosomal RNA (484 nucleotides) under uncultured bacterium. Its description in RNAcentral is "partial 16S ribosomal RNA". It matches the Rfam family "Bacterial small subunit ribosomal RNA", at positions 30 to 507 of the family's 1533-position model. The record is from RNAcentral.
AUUGAACGCUGGCGGCAGGCCUAACACAUGCAAGUCGAGCGGAUGAAGGGAGCUUGCUCCUGGAUUCAGCGGCGGACGGGUGAGUAAUGCCUAGGAAUCUGCCUGGUAGUGGGGGAUAACGUCCGGAAACGGGCGCUAAUACCGCAUACGUCCUGAGGGAGAAAGUGGGGGAUCUUCGGACCUCACGCUAUCAGAUGAGCCUAGGUCGGAUUAGCUAGUUGGUGGGGUAAAGGCCUACCAAGGCGACGAUCCGUAACUGGUCUGAGAGGAUGAUCAGUCACCCGGGAACUGAGACACGGUCCAGACUCCUACGGGAGGCAGCAGUGGGGAAUAUUGGACGAUGGGCGAAAGCCUGAUCCAGCCAUGCCGCGUGUGUGAAGAAGGUCUUCGGAUUGUAAAGCACUUUAAGUUGGGAGGAAGGGCAGUAAGUUAAUACCUUGCUGUUUUGACGUUACCAACAGAAUAAGCACCGGCUAACUUCGUG